CGUACACUCCUACGGGAGGCAGCAGUGGGGAAUAUUGGACAAUGGGCGCAAGCCUGAUCCAGCCAUGCCGCGUGAGUGAUGAAGGCCCUAGGGUUGUAAAGCUCUUUCACCGGUGAAGAUAAUGACGGUAACCGGAGAAGAAGCCCCGGCUAACUUCGUGCCAGCAGCCGCGGUAAUACGAAGGGGGCUAGCGUUGUUCGGAUUUACUGGGCGUAAAGCGCACGUAGGCGGACUAUUAAGUCAGGGGUGAAAUCCCGGGGCUCAACCCCGGAACUGCCUUUGAUACUGGUAGUCUUGAGUUCGAGAGAGGUGAGUGGAAUUCCGAGUGUAGAGGUGAAAUUCGUAGAUAUUCGGAGGAACACCAGUGGCGAAGGCGGCUCACUGGCUCGAUACUGACGCUGAGGUGCGAAAGCGUGGGGAGCAAACAGGAUUAGAUACCCCUGUAGUCC
This 449-nucleotide ribosomal RNA is filed under the name uncultured organism. RNAcentral's name for it is "partial 16S ribosomal RNA". It matches the Rfam family "Bacterial small subunit ribosomal RNA", at positions 330 to 796 of the family's 1533-position model. The record is from RNAcentral.